RNAcentral lists this ribosomal RNA (301 nucleotides) under uncultured bacterium. RNAcentral describes it as "partial 16S ribosomal RNA". It matches the Rfam family "Bacterial small subunit ribosomal RNA", at positions 509 to 807 of the family's 1533-position model. The record is from RNAcentral.
CAGCCGCCGCGGUAAUACGUAGGGUGCAAGCGUUAAUCGGAAUUACUGGGCGUAAAGCGUGCGUAGGUGGUGGUUUAAGUCCGUUGUGAAAGCCCUGGGCUCAACCUGGGAAUUGCAGUGGAUACUGGGUCACUAGAGUGUGGUAGAGGAUAGUGGAAUUUCCGGUGUAGCAGUGAAAUGCGUAGAGAUCGGAAGGAACAUCUGUGGCGAAGGCGACUAUCUGGGCCAACACUGACACUGAGGCACGAAAGCGUGGGGAGCAAACAGGAUUAGAUACCCGCGUAGUCCCUGUCUCUUAUAC